AAAAUUAAUUUUUUUAAAAUUUAUUUUAUUUAAAAUAUCAAAAUAGUUUUUUUUUCUAAAUUUUUAUAGAAUGUGAUUGUGUAUGUUAACUUAAUAAGUUUUAAUUAAUUAUAAUUAUUAAAUUUGAUAAAAAAAAUGAGAGAAUCGUUUAAAUUUUUAAAGUUUGAUUUACAUAUUAAAAUUAAAUAAAUUAAAAAUUUUAAAUGUGUUGAUUAAUAAGUCGAAGAAUUGUUGAAAAAUAUAAAAUUAUUAUAUAUAUAUUUAUAUAUCUAUUUAUUUAUUUAUAAAUAGUAAGUUUAAAUGAUUAAUAAAAUUAUAUAAUUAUUUUAUGCAUAGUGAAGGUAAUCUCACCACUCUAUCUGAAGAGGUGACAAAAUUCACAAAUAUAACUAUCAGCUUCAUGUUACCAAACAGAAAAAAUGUAACUGCAGCAUUGCAACUAUAUAAAACCAAACAGACUAGGUGUAGUCACAACUUCAGUAUUUGCAACUGUAUGUAUUUCCAACUACAUUGUUUCUGCAACUACAUCCAACCAAACAGCCCCUUAGAGAAGUUCGAUCUCCCUUGAACCCCAAUUGUUUACCAAUUGGAGAGAAGUCUGAUCUCACUC
RNAcentral lists this long non-coding RNA (610 nucleotides) under Ananas comosus (pineapple). RNAcentral's name for it is "long non-coding RNA (ACOM_LNC040022)". The record is from RNAcentral. Lineage: Eukaryota; Viridiplantae; Streptophyta; Magnoliopsida; Poales; Bromeliaceae.